AAUCUGAACAGCGUCGGUCGGAGUUUCUGACUCUUGAAUAUGAAGAGUCA
This 50-nucleotide non-coding RNA is filed under the name Guillardia theta. The record is from RNAcentral. Lineage: Eukaryota; Cryptophyceae; Pyrenomonadales; Geminigeraceae.